AGAACGAACGCUGGCGGCAUGCCUAAUACAUGCAAGUCGAACGAACUCUUCGGAGUUAGUGGCGCACGGGUGCGUAACGCGUGGGAAUCUGCCCCUUGGUUCGGAAUAACAGUUGGAAACGACUGCUAAUACCGGAUGAUGACGAAAGUCCAAAGAUUUAUCGCCGAGGGAUGAGCCCGCGUAGGAUUAGCUAGUUGGUGAGGUAAAGGCUCACCAAGGCAACGAUCCUUAGCUGGUCUGAGAGGAUGAUCAGCCACACUGGGACUGAGACACGGCCCAGACUCCUACGGGAGGCAGCAGUAGGAAUAUUGGACAAUGGGCGAAAGCCUGAUCCAGCAAUGCCGCGCGAGUGAUGAAGGCCGUUAGGGUUGUAAAGC
This 377-nucleotide ribosomal RNA is filed under the name uncultured soil bacterium. RNAcentral describes it as "bacterial SSU rRNA". It matches the Rfam family "Bacterial small subunit ribosomal RNA", at positions 26 to 431 of the family's 1533-position model. The record is from RNAcentral.